UACGUAGGGGGCUAGCGUUGUCCGGAAUCAUUGGGCGUAAAGAGCGUGUAGGCGGCCCGGUAAGUCCGCUGUCAAAGUCAAAGGCUCAACCUUUGAAUGUCAGUGGAUACUGCCGGGCUAGAGUCCGGAAGAGGCGAGUGGAACUCCUGGUGUAGCGGUGGAAUGCGCAGAUAUCAGGAAGAACACCAACGGCGAAGGCAGCUCGCUGGGACGGUACUGACGCUGAGACGCGAAAGCGUGGGGAGCGAACAGG
This 253-nucleotide ribosomal RNA is filed under the name uncultured bacterium. RNAcentral describes it as "partial 16S ribosomal RNA". It matches the Rfam family "Bacterial small subunit ribosomal RNA", at positions 524 to 776 of the family's 1533-position model. The record is from RNAcentral.